CCUACGGGGUGCAGCAGUGGGGGAUAUUGCACAAUGGGGGAAACCCUGAUGCAGCGACGCCGCGUGAGUGAAGAAGUAUUUCGGGAUGUAAAGCUCUAUCAGCAGGGAAGAAAAUGACAGUAACUGACCAAGAAGCCCCGGCUAACUACGUGCCAGCAGCCGCGGUAAUACGUAGGGGGCAAGCGUUAUCCGGAUUUACUGGGUGUAAAGGGAGCGUAGACGGUUAUGUAAGUCUGGAGUGAAAGCCCGUGGCUCAACCCCGGAACUGCUUUGGAAACUGUGUAACUGGAGUGCAGUAGGGGCAGGCGGAAUUCCUGGUGUAGCGGUGAAAUGCGUAGAUAUCAGGAGGAACACCGGUGGCGAAGGCGGCCUGCUGGACUGAAACUGACGUUGAGGCUCGAAAGCGUGGGGAGCAAACAGGAUUAGAUACCCGAGUAGUC
This 440-nucleotide ribosomal RNA is filed under the name uncultured bacterium. Its description in RNAcentral is "partial 16S ribosomal RNA". It matches the Rfam family "Bacterial small subunit ribosomal RNA", at positions 338 to 795 of the family's 1533-position model. The record is from RNAcentral.